CAGUAUCAAUCAUUUGAAUGAGUUUGCUAAGAUUAUUUUGAAUCUUAAAAGUGUUGGUGUUUAAGUAGAUGAUGAAGAUACCAUAUCUCAUAGGGAAAUAGUUUUGUACUUAUAAUUACUCUUAUGCUAAUUACCUCCUUCAAAUGAACAUUUUGUUGAUAUUUAAUUAUAUGGGAUAGAUAAUAAUUAUGUGGAAGAUAGAAAUGUUACACUAAAC
This 217-nucleotide long non-coding RNA is filed under the name Spirodela polyrhiza (greater duckweed). RNAcentral describes it as "long non-coding RNA (SPOL_LNC002172)". The record is from RNAcentral. Lineage: Eukaryota; Viridiplantae; Streptophyta; Magnoliopsida; Alismatales; Araceae.